GAUGAAGAACGCAGCGAAAUGCGAUAAGUAAUGUGAAUUGCAGAAUUCAGUGAAUCAUCGAAUCUUUGAACGCACAUUGCGCCCGCUAGUAUUCUGGCGGGCAUGCCCGUCCGAGCGUCAUUUCAACCCUCAAGCCCCCGGGCUUGGUGUUGGGGAUCGGCGAGCCUCCGCGCCCGCCGUCCCCUAAAUCUAGUGGCGGUCUCGCUGUAGCUUCCUCUGCGUAGUAGCACACCUCGCACUGGGAAACAGCGCGGCCACGCCGUUAAACCCCCAACUUCUGAACGUUUGACCUCGGAUCAGGUAGGAAUACCCGCUGAACUUAAGCAUAUCAAUAAGCGGAGGA
Molecule: unclassified non-coding RNA, 343 nt
Filed under: soil metagenome
Description: partial contains 5.8S ribosomal RNA, internal transcribed spacer 2, and large subunit ribosomal RNA
Rfam family: 5.8S ribosomal RNA (bases 1-120)
Source: RNAcentral